UUACGGCCACAUCACGUUGAAACACCGAUUCUCUUACGAUCACCGAAGUUAAGCAACGUCGAGCCUGGUCAGUACCUAGAUAGGUGAUCGUUUGAGAAUACAAGGU
Non-coding RNA from Acanthosepion pharaonis, 106 nucleotides. NCBI's taxonomy places the organism in Eukaryota, Metazoa, Mollusca, Cephalopoda, Sepiida, Sepiidae. The record is from the annotation of a GenBank genome assembly.